AUUGAACGCUGGCGGCAGGCCUAACACAUGCAAGUCGAACGGUAACGGGAAGAAGCUUGCUUCUUUGCUGACGAGUGGCGGACGGGUGAGUAAUGUCUGGGAAACUGCCUGAUGGAGGGGGAUAACUACUGGAAACGGUAGCUAAUACCGCAUAACGUCGCAAGACCAAAGAGGGGGACCUUCGGGCCUCUUGCCAUCGGAUGUGCCCAGAUGGGAUUAGCUAGUAGGUGGGGUAACGGCUCACCUAGGCGACGAUCCCUAGCUGGUCUGAGAGGAUGACCAGCCACACUGGAACUGAGACACGGUCCAGACUCCUACGGGAGGCAGCAGUGGGGAAUAUUGCACAAUGGGCGCAAGCCUGAUGCAGCCAUGCUGCGUGUAUGAAGAAGGCCUUCGGGUUGUAAAGUACUUUCAGCGGGGAGGAAGGGAGUAAAGUUAAUACCUUUGCUCAUUGACGUUACCCGCAGAAGAAGCACCGGCUAACUCCGUG
RNAcentral lists this ribosomal RNA (490 nucleotides) under uncultured bacterium. RNAcentral describes it as "partial 16S ribosomal RNA". It matches the Rfam family "Bacterial small subunit ribosomal RNA", at positions 30 to 507 of the family's 1533-position model. The record is from RNAcentral.